Molecule: ribosomal RNA, 248 nt
Filed under: uncultured bacterium
Lineage: Bacteria
Description: partial 16S ribosomal RNA
Rfam family: Bacterial small subunit ribosomal RNA
Source: RNAcentral
UACGUAGGGGCUAGCGUUGUCCGGAAUCAUUGGGCGUAAAGCGCGUGUAGGCGGCCGGUAAGUCCGCUGUGAAAGUCGAGGCUCAACCCUCGAAGCCGGUGGAUACUGUCGGCUCGAGUGCGGGAGAGGCGAGUGGAAUUCCUGGUGUAGCGGUGAAAUGCGCAGAUAUCAGGAGGAACACCGAUUGCGAAGGCAGCUCGCUGGAACGUAACUGACGCUGAGACGCGAAAGCGUGGGGAACAAACAGG